GAUGAACGCUGACAGAAUGCUUAACACAUGCAAGUCAACUUGAAUUUGGGUUUUUAACUUAGAUUUGGGUGGCGGACGGGUGAGUAACGCGUAAAGAACUUGCCUCACAGCUAGGGACAACAUUUAGAAAUGAAUGCUAAUACCUAAUAUUAUGAUAAUAGGGCAUCCUAUAAUUAUGAAAGCUAUAUGCGCUGUGAGAGAGCUUUGCGUCCCAUUAGCUAGUUGGAGAGGUAACGGCUCACCAAGGCGAUGAUGGGUAGCCGGCCUGAGAGGGUGAUCGGCCACAAGGGGACUGAGACACGGCCCUUACUCCUACGGGAGGCAGCAGUGGGGAAUAUUGGACAAUGGACCAAGAGUCUGAUCCAGCAAUUCUGUGUGCACGAUGACGUUUUUCGGAAUGUAAAGUGCUUUCAGUUGGGAAGAAAAAAAUGACGGUACCAACAGAAGAAGUGACGGCUAAAUACGUGCCAGCAGCCGCGGUAAUACGUAUGUCACAAGCGUUAUCCGGAUUUAUUGGGCGUAAAGCGCGUCUAGGUGGUUAUGUAAGUCUGAUGUGAAAAUGCAGGGCUCAACUCUGUAUUGCGUUGGAAACUGUGUAACUAGAGUACUGGAGAGGUAAGCGGAACUACAAGUGUAGAGGUGAAAUUCGUAGAUAUUUGUAGGAAUGCCGAUGGGGAAGCCAGCUUACUGGACAGAUACUGACGCUGAAGCGCGAAAGCGUGGGUAGCAAACAGG
RNAcentral lists this ribosomal RNA (735 nucleotides) under uncultured Fusobacterium sp. RNAcentral describes it as "bacterial SSU rRNA". It matches the Rfam family "Bacterial small subunit ribosomal RNA", at positions 28 to 776 of the family's 1533-position model. Lineage: Bacteria; Fusobacteriati; Fusobacteriota; Fusobacteriia; Fusobacteriales; Fusobacteriaceae. The record is from RNAcentral.